This 449-nucleotide ribosomal RNA is filed under the name uncultured bacterium. Its description in RNAcentral is "partial 16S ribosomal RNA". It matches the Rfam family "Bacterial small subunit ribosomal RNA", at positions 29 to 523 of the family's 1533-position model. The record is from RNAcentral.
AACGAACGCUGGCGGCAGGCUUAACACAUGCAAGUCGAGCGCAUCCUUCGGGAUGAGCGGCAGACGGGUGAGUAACGCGUGGGGAUGUGCCUGGUGGUACGGAACAACUCAGGGAAACUUGAGCUAAUACCGUAUAAGCCCUUUUGGGGAAAGAUUUAUCGCCACCAGAUCAACCCGCGUUGGAUUAGCUAGUUGGUGAGGUAACGGCUCACCAAGGCGACGAUCCAUAGCUGGUCUGAGAGGAUGAUCAGCCACACUGGGACUGAGACACGGCCCAGACUCCUACGGGAGGCAGCAGUGGGGAAUAUUGGACAAUGGGCGCAAGCCUGAUCCAGCCAUGCCGCGUGAGUGAUGAAGGCCUUAGGGUUGUAAAGCUCUUUCACUGGGGAAGAUAAUGACGGUACCCAGAGAAGAAGCCCCGGCUAACUUCGUGCCAGCCGCCGCCGUAA